RNAcentral lists this small RNA (853 nucleotides) under uncultured Chlamydiales bacterium. RNAcentral's name for it is "bacterial SSU rRNA". The stretch from base 1 to 487 matches the Rfam family "Bacterial small subunit ribosomal RNA", at positions 1046 to 1533 of the family's 1533-position model. Lineage: Bacteria; Pseudomonadati; Chlamydiota; Chlamydiia; Chlamydiales. The record is from RNAcentral.
UGGCUGUCGUCAGCUCGUGCCGUGAGGUGUUGGGUUAAGUCCCGCAACGAGCGCAACCCUUAUUGCUAGUUGCCACCAUUUAGGAUGGGAACUCUAGCGAGACUGCCUGGGUUAACCAGGAGGAAGGUGAGGAUGACGUCAAGUCCGCAUGGCCCUUAUGUCUGGGGCUACACACGUGCUACAAUGGCCGGUACAGAAGGCAGCGAAGCCGCGAGGUGGAGCAAAUCCCAAAAACCGGUCCCAGUUCAGAUUGUAGUCUGCAACUCGGCUACAUGAAGUUGGAAUUGCUAGUAAUGGCGUGUCAGCAACAACGCCGUGAAUACGUUCCCGGGUCUUGUACACACCGCCCGUCACGUCAUGGGAGUUGGUUUUACCCGAAGUCGCUGACUUAACCGCAAGGGGAGAGGCGCCUAAGGUGAGGCCGAUGACUGGGACGAAGUCGUAACAAGGUAGCCCUACCGGAAGGUGGGGCUGGAUCACCUCCUUUAAGGACUAACAUAGGAUGCCGAAAGGCUCAUGUCCUAUGGUUGAGACAAGCUCGACUGCCUACAUCAUCUUACUAACGCUGUCAAAACACGUUAUCUUACAGAACAAACAAAAAGCGUAAACACAUUAAGAGGAUUUGCGAAACCCGAAAGGGGAAAGCAAAGACUCUAAAUUCACUGACGAUAAUCGACGCUUGAGGAGACCCCUCAGCGUCAAGCGUUAGCUUGAGAAAUUAUGGUCAAGUUAUUAAGAGCUGCUGGAGGAUGCCUAGGCAUCAAAAGGCGAUGAAGGACGCGCGUACCUGCGAAAAGCUUCGGGGAGCCGGAAAGAGGCGUUGAACCGAAGAUAUCCGAAUGGGGAAACCCGG